RNAcentral lists this ribosomal RNA (253 nucleotides) under uncultured bacterium. Its description in RNAcentral is "partial 16S ribosomal RNA". It matches the Rfam family "Bacterial small subunit ribosomal RNA", at positions 524 to 776 of the family's 1533-position model. The record is from RNAcentral.
UACGAAGGGGGCUAGCGUUGUUCGGAAUCACUGGGCGUAAAGGGCGCGUAGGCGGCUUUUCAAGUCGGGGGUGAAAGCCUGUGGCUCAACCACAGAAUUGCCUUCGAUACUGUUAGGCUUGAGACCGGAAGAGGUGAGUGGAACUGCGAGUGUAGAGGUGAAAUUCGUAGAUAUUCGCAAGAACACCAGUGGCGAAGGCGGUUGCCUGGGGCUUUGCUGACGCUGAGGAGCGAAAGCGUGGGGAGCGAACAGG